RNAcentral lists this ribosomal RNA (497 nucleotides) under uncultured bacterium. RNAcentral's name for it is "partial 16S ribosomal RNA". It matches the Rfam family "Bacterial small subunit ribosomal RNA", at positions 28 to 507 of the family's 1533-position model. The record is from RNAcentral.
GAUGAACGCUGGCGGCGUGCCUAAUACAUGCAAGUCGAGCGAACGGACGAGAAGCUUGCUUCUCUGAUGUCAGCGGCGGACGGGUGAGUAACACGUGGAUAACCUACCUAUAAGACUGGGAUAACUUCGGGAAACCGGAGCUAAUACCGGAUAAUAUUUUGAACCGCAUGGUUCAAAAGUAAAAGACGGUCUUGCUGUCACUUAUAGAUGGAUCCGCGCUGCAUUAGCUAGUUGGUAAGGUAACGGCUUACCAAGGCAACGAUGCAUAGCCGACCUGAGAGGGUGAUCGGCCACACUGGAACUGAGACACGGUCCAGACUCCUACGGGAGGCAGCAGUAGGGAAUCUUCCGCAAUGGGCGAAAGCCUGACGGAGCAACGCCGCGUGAGUGAUGAAGGUCUUCGGAUCGUAAAACUCUGUUAUUAGGGAAGAACAUAUGUGUAAGUAACUGUGCACAUCUUGACGGUACCUAAUCAGAAAGCCACGGCUAACUACGUG